AUCGGUGAGCGCAGGCUGAGCACUUCGGUCUCCAAAACUGCAAGUCGAAGGUUCAAAUCCUUCCACCGGUGCCA
This 74-nucleotide transfer RNA is filed under the name Methylobacterium sp. WL120. Its description in RNAcentral is "tRNA-Trp". It matches the Rfam family "tRNA". Rfam says of the family: Transfer RNA (tRNA) molecules are approximately 80 nucleotides in length. Their secondary structure includes four short double-helical elements and three loops (D, anti-codon, and T loops). Lineage: Bacteria; Pseudomonadati; Pseudomonadota; Alphaproteobacteria; Hyphomicrobiales; Methylobacteriaceae. The record is from RNAcentral.